UGGGGAAUAUUGGACAAUGGGGGCAACCCUGAUCCAGCAAUACCGCGUGUGUGAAGAAGGCCUGAGGGUUGUAAAGCACUUUCAAUUGUGAAGAAAAGCUAAUAGUUAAUAACUAUUAGCCUUGACGUUAACUUUAGAAGAAGCACCGGCUAACUCCGUGCCAGCAGCCGCGGUAAUACGGAGGGUGCAAGCGUUAAUCGGAAUUACUGGGCGUAAAGCGUGCGUAGGUGGUUUGUUAAGUUAGAUGUGAAAGCCCUGGGCUCAACCUAGGAACUGCAUUUAAAACUGGCAAACUAGAGUAUAGGAGAGGAAAGUGGAAUUUCAGGUGUAGCGGUGAAAUGCGUAGAUAUCUGAAGGAACAUCAAUGGCGAAGGCAGCUUUCUGGACUAAUACUGACACUGAGGUACGAAAGCGUGGGUAGCAAACAGG
This 429-nucleotide ribosomal RNA is filed under the name uncultured bacterium. RNAcentral describes it as "bacterial SSU rRNA". It matches the Rfam family "Bacterial small subunit ribosomal RNA", at positions 355 to 776 of the family's 1533-position model. The record is from RNAcentral.